RNAcentral lists this ribosomal RNA (292 nucleotides) under uncultured bacterium. Its description in RNAcentral is "partial 16S ribosomal RNA". It matches the Rfam family "Bacterial small subunit ribosomal RNA", at positions 505 to 796 of the family's 1533-position model. The record is from RNAcentral.
GUGUCAGCAGCCGCGGUAAUACGAAGGUCCCAAGCGUUAUCCGGAUUUAUUGGGUUUAAAGGGUGCGUAGGCGGGUUAUUAAGUCAGUGGUGAAAGCUCCAUGCCUAACAUGGAAAUUGCCAUUGAUACUGAUGAUCUUGAGUACAUUUGAAGUGGGCGGAAUGUGUCAUGUAGCGGUGAAAUGCUUAGAUAUGACACAGAACACCGAUUGCGUAGGCAGCUCGCUAAACUGUAACUGACGCUGAGGCACGAAAGCGUGGGGAGCAAACAGGAUUAGAUACCCCUGUAGUCC